CCUACGGGAGGCAGCAGUGGGGAAUAUUGGGCAAUGGGCGCAAGCCUGACCCAGCAACGCCGCGUGAAGGAAGAAGGCUUUCGGGUUGUAAACUUCUUUUUACAGGGAAGAGCAGAAGACGGUACCUGUCGAAUAAGCCACGGCUAACUACGUGCCAGCCGACGCGGUAAUAUGUAGGUGGCAAGCGUUGUCCGGAUUUACUGGGUGUAAAGGGCGUGUAGCCGGGCUGACAAGUCAGAUUUGAAAUACGGGGGCUCAACCCCCGAACUGUAUUUGAAACUGUUGGUCUUGAGUAUCGGAGAGGCAGGCGGAAGUCCUAGGGUAGCGGUGAAAUGCGGAGAUAUUAGGAGGAACACCAGUGGCGAAGGCGGCCUGCUGGACGACAACUGACGGUGAGGCGCGAAAGCGUGGGGAGCAAACAGGAUUAGAUACCCGUGUAGUC
RNAcentral lists this ribosomal RNA (442 nucleotides) under uncultured bacterium. Its description in RNAcentral is "partial 16S ribosomal RNA". It matches the Rfam family "Bacterial small subunit ribosomal RNA", at positions 338 to 795 of the family's 1533-position model. The record is from RNAcentral.